GCUUGCACCGGGGAUUAGUGGCGAACGGGUGAGUAACACGUGAGUAACCUGCCCUUGACUCUGGGAUAAGCCUGGGAAACCGGGUCUAAUACCGGAUACGACCUGUCACCGCAUGGUGGUGGGUGGAAAGAUUUUUUGGUUUUGGAUGGACUCGCGGCCUAUCAGCUUGUUGGUGAGGUAAUGGCUCACCAAGGCGACGACGGGUAGCCGGCCUGAGAGGGUGACCGGCCACACUGGGACUGAGACACGGCCCAGACUCCUACGGGAGGCAGCAGUGGGGAAUAUUGCACAAUGGGCGAAAGCCUGAUGCAGCGACGCCGCGUGAGGGAUGACGGCCUUCGGGUUGUAAACCUCUUUCAGCAGGGAAGAAGCGAAAGUGACGGUACCUGCAGAAGAAGCGCCGGCUAACUACGUGCCAGCAGCCGCGGUAAUACGUAGGGCGCAAGCGUUGUCCGGAAUUAUUGGGCGUAAAGAGCUCGUAGGCGGUUUGUCGCGUCUGCUGUGAAAGCCCGGGGCUCAACCCCGGGUCUGCAGUGGGUACGGGCAGACUAGAGUGCAGUAGGGGAGACUGGAAUUCCUGGUGUAGCGGUGAAAUGCGCAGAUAUCAGGAGGAACACCGAUGGCGAACGCAGGUCUCUGGGCUGUAACUGACGCUGAGGAGCGAAAGCAUGGGGGAGCGAACAGGAUUAGAUACCCUGGUAGUCCAUGCCGUAAACGUUGGGCACUAGGUGUGGGGGACAUUCCACGUUUUUCCGCGCCGUAGCUAACGCAUUUAAGUGCCCCGCCUGGGGAGUACGGCCGCAAGGCUUAAAACUCAAAGGAAUUGACGGGGGCCCGCACAAGCGGCGGAGCAUGCGGAUUAAUUCGAUGCAACGCGAAGAACCUUACCAAGGCUUGACAUGGACCGGACCGCCGCAGAAAUGCGGUUUCCCUUCGGGGCUGGUUUACAGGUGGUGCAUGGUUGUCGUCAGCUCGUGUCGUGAGAUGUUGGGUUAAGUCCCGCAACGAGCGCAACCCUCGUUCUAUGUUGCCAGCGCGUUAUGGCGGGGACUCAUAGGAGACUGCCGGGGUCAACUCGGAGGAAGGUGGGGACGACGUCAAAUCAUCAUGCCCCUUAUGUCUUGGGCUUCACGCAUGCUACAAUGGCCGGUACAAAGGGUUGCGAUACUGUGAGGUGGAGCUAAUCCCAAAAAGCCGGUCUCAGUUCGGAUUGAGGUCUGCAACUCGACCUCAUGAAGUCGGAGUCGCUAGUAAUCGCAGAUCAGCAACGCUGCGGUGAAUACGUUCCCGGGCCUUGUACACACCGCCCGUCAAGUCACGAAAGUUGGUAACACCCGAAGCCGG
RNAcentral lists this ribosomal RNA (1344 nucleotides) under Crystallibacter crystallopoietes. RNAcentral's name for it is "bacterial SSU rRNA". It matches the Rfam family "Bacterial small subunit ribosomal RNA", at positions 78 to 1430 of the family's 1533-position model. The record is from RNAcentral. Lineage: Bacteria; Bacillati; Actinomycetota; Actinomycetes; Micrococcales; Micrococcaceae.